UUCCCUUCAGCCGCCAUCUUGUUUUUUGGAGCAAAGUUUCUUGAAGGAGCAACUUUAUCGUCUUUUUACUCCAUUUUCUCGACGAAUUAAGGCUCUGCUUUAAAGAUGACGUCUCUAGGAGAUACCAAGCUACGUAAUAUUGGAAAUUAUGUUGCUGCUAAUGCGUCUGUGACUAAUGUUUGGCGAGGAAUGUCGCGAGUGUGGAACAGUUACAGAGCCAAGUAUGUGACGUGCAAAAAUGCUAGGAUGACCCCUUUUUGGCAUGCUGUAAUGUUGGCAGUGGCUGUGAAUUACGCUAUUGAUUAUUCUCACAUUAAAGCCCAUUCACUGAACAGAAAAUACCAUUGAUGGAUGGAUAUUCAACUGGAUUGUGGUUUAUUAAACAAACUUUUCAAGACUUGGAUCAAGAACUGAAACAGUGUUACAGUGAAUGACUACGUUUUCAUGCAAGUUUAUGUAUCAAAUUGUGUUAAUGGCUUGAAUAAAGUUUUACAUACUGUAGA
This is a long non-coding RNA of Actinia tenebrosa (Australian red waratah sea anemone), 503 nucleotides long. RefSeq lists it as uncharacterized. NCBI's taxonomy places the organism in Eukaryota, Metazoa, Cnidaria, Anthozoa, Actiniaria, Actiniidae. The record is from RefSeq and is a predicted model, not a curated record.